AUGAACGCUGGCGGCGUGCCUAAUACAUGCAAGUCGAGCGAACGGACGAGAAGCUUGCUUCUCUGAUGUUAGCGGCGGACGGGUGAGUAACCCGUGGAUAACCUACCUAUAAGACUGGGAUAACUUCGGGAAACCGGAGCUAAUACCGGAUAAUAUUUUGAACCGCAUGGUUCAAAAGUGAAAGACGGUCUUGCUGUCACUUAUAGAUGGAUCCGCGCUGCAUUAGCUAGUUGGUAAGGUAACGGCUUAUCAAGGCAACGAUGCAUAGCCGACCUGAGAGGGUGAUCGGCCACACUGGAACUGAGACACGGUCCAGACUCCUACGGGAGGCAGCAGUAGGGAAUCUUCCGCAAUGGGCGAAAGCCUGACGGAGCAACGCCGCGUGAGUGAUGAAGGUCUUCGGAUCGUAAAACUCUGUUAUUAGGGAAGAACAUAUGUGUAAGUAACUGUGCACAUCUUGACGGUACCUAAUCAGAAAGCCACGGCUAACUACGUG
This 496-nucleotide ribosomal RNA is filed under the name uncultured bacterium. RNAcentral describes it as "partial 16S ribosomal RNA". It matches the Rfam family "Bacterial small subunit ribosomal RNA", at positions 29 to 507 of the family's 1533-position model. The record is from RNAcentral.